UACAUCGUGCUGUCGCUAUUAAUGCCGGC
Molecule: small RNA, 29 nt
Filed under: Bombyx mori (domestic silkworm)
Lineage: Eukaryota; Metazoa; Arthropoda; Insecta; Lepidoptera; Bombycidae
Description: ovarian small RNA-20399
Source: RNAcentral